Molecule: long non-coding RNA, 583 nt
Organism: Nycticebus coucang (slow loris)
Lineage: Eukaryota; Metazoa; Chordata; Mammalia; Primates; Lorisidae
Exons: 3
Source: RefSeq, a predicted model, not a curated record
CACUGGCCCAGGUACAUGACCAGCACCCAGAUGACCACGAGCCUCCGGCCCACCAGGGGGUCCAGGUUCCAGAUCCAGAAGGGGAAGAACAUGAUGUAAAAGAGUUCGUUGCCCAACUCCGUGCCGAAGCAGAACAGGCCUGUAAUCCUGGCUCUCUGGGAGGCCACGGUAGAUGGAUUGCCUAACUAAGCUCAGGAGUUGGAGACCAGCCUGAGCAAAACUGAGACCCUGUUUCUGAAAAUAACCUGGCGUUGUAGCAGGUGCCUGUACUCCCAGCUGCUUGGGAAGCUGAGUUUCUGGCCGGAGCUGGGUUUGAACCCACCACCUUUGGCAUAUGGGGCCGGCAUUCUACUCCUUUGAGCCACAGGCGCUGCCCUGAAUAUUGUCAUUUAUUUUCUUUUGCCUACCUAGAUCCAAACUUAAUUUCUUGUUUGUUAAACUAUGAAAUGUAUGUAUUGCAAUCUAUUUACCAUAAAUUUUUACUAGAAUAUUUUUGACAUGGUAAUAUCAGUACAUAGAACGGUAUAGGAAUCAAUAGUUGUUAUGAAUAUGUUAUUUUGAAAGAUUAAGUAUGUUUAUUAAA